GGUACCGUGGGAGGGGCCGCGCGUGGGUUAGCGGGGAGCGAGUCCCUCCGUCCCCGCGAGUCGGCGCUUUUGGCCCUGCGGGAGGGGCCGGGCUCGAUGAGAAAAGCAUCAUUCAAGCUCAGAUUCGUAUUGAAGCCUGCCACAAGGUCCACCUGUUGUGGGUUUGUGUGUGACCAGACCAAGUCUCGCUCUGUUGGCCAGGCUGGAGUGCAGUGGCGUGAUCUUGGCUCAUUUCAACCUCCACCUUCCAGAUUCAAGCAAUUCUUCUGCCUCAGUUUUCUGGGUAGCUGGGACUACAGGGGUUACCCCCAGCAGUGUGUGAGAAUGAAGAGUGUGGGCCACUGUGUCUCUGUUGACCUGCCAGCUAGGAAAUAGCGCCAGAGUUGCUGCAAUCCGCAUCUCCCUAGAAUUCAGGAGCAGCUUGGCUGGAAGGCUCUGGCUGGAAACUUGCAGAAGGCUGUCAGCUGGGUCCGCAUCAUCCCAAGGCUCAACGGGUACCGGGGGCCACUCCAUGGCCUGCGAGUCGGAGCUGGCUGUCGGUGGG
RNAcentral lists this small RNA (544 nucleotides) under Pongo abelii (Sumatran orangutan). Its description in RNAcentral is "processed transcript". Lineage: Eukaryota; Metazoa; Chordata; Mammalia; Primates; Hominidae. The record is from RNAcentral.